This 46-nucleotide non-coding RNA is filed under the name Trichobilharzia regenti. The record is from RNAcentral. Lineage: Eukaryota; Metazoa; Platyhelminthes; Trematoda; Strigeidida; Schistosomatidae.
GUCCAACUGAAGAGUCCCGAACAGAACGAAAUUGUCCAUCCCGGAU